GAUCUCUUGGUUCUGGCAUCGAUGAAGAACGCAGCGAAAUGCGAUAAGUAAUGUGAAUUGCAGAAUUCAGUGAAUCAUCGAAUCUUUGAACGCACAUUGCGCCCGCCAGUAUUCUGGCGGGCAUGCCUGU
This 130-nucleotide ribosomal RNA is filed under the name Calonectria sp. WH10A. RNAcentral describes it as "5.8S ribosomal RNA". It matches the Rfam family "5.8S ribosomal RNA", at positions 15 to 144 of the family's 154-position model. Rfam says of the family: 5.8S ribosomal RNA (5.8S rRNA) is a component of the large subunit of the eukaryotic ribosome. It is transcribed by RNA polymerase I as part of the 45S precursor that also contains 18S and 28S rRNA. Functionally, it is thought that 5.8S rRNA may be involved in ribosome translocation. The record is from RNAcentral. Lineage: Eukaryota; Fungi; Ascomycota; Sordariomycetes; Hypocreales; Nectriaceae.